Molecule: unclassified non-coding RNA, 337 nt
Filed under: uncultured fungus
Lineage: Eukaryota; Fungi
Description: partial contains small subunit ribosomal RNA, internal transcribed spacer 1, and 5.8S ribosomal RNA
Rfam family: Eukaryotic small subunit ribosomal RNA (bases 1-73)
Source: RNAcentral
GCAAACUUGGUCAUUUAGAGGAAGUAAAAGUCGUAACAAGGUUUCCGUAGGUGAACCUGCGGAAGGAUCAUUACCGAUGGCGCAGUUGAGCCGGGUGGGUGCGGUUGCCAGUCAGCCCGCCGCCUGUGGUUCCUCCCAUUUCCCACCCUUGCAUACCGAACUUUAGUUGCCUUGGCGAGCCGACGCUUAGCGGCGUCACCCCUAUUCCUUAGGGGGCGUGCUCGCCAAAGGACUGUUGAACACGAUCUGAAUUUUAGUGGUUUGUCUGAGCAAAGCUUUAAUUAUUAAAACUUUCAACAACGGAUCUCUUGGUUCUGGCAUCGAUGAAGAACGCAGC